This 413-nucleotide ribosomal RNA is filed under the name Intestinimonas massiliensis (ex Afouda et al. 2020). RNAcentral's name for it is "partial 23S ribosomal RNA". It matches the Rfam family "Bacterial large subunit ribosomal RNA", at positions 1 to 418 of the family's 2925-position model. The record is from RNAcentral. Lineage: Bacteria; Bacillati; Bacillota; Clostridia; Eubacteriales.
GGUCAAGCUAGAAAGAGCGCAAGGGGAAUGCCUUGGCAUCAGGAGCCGACGAAGGACGUGACAAGCUGCGAUAAGCUGCGGGGAGUGGCACAUACACAUUGAUCCGCAGAUUUCCGAAUGGGGCAACCCGGCAGAGCAAUACUCUGUCAGCGUGCGUUGAAUCAAAUAGGCGUACGCGGGGAACCGCCUGAACUGAAACAUCUAAGUAGGGCGAGGAAGAGAAAUCAACAGAGAUUCCGCUAGUAGUGGCGAGCGAACGCGGAAGAGGCCAAACCGAGGGAUUUAUUCCUCGGGGUUGAGGACUCACACAACGGUAAGAUAGGUUAGUCGAACGGUAUGGGAAGGCCGGCCACAGCGGGUGAGAGCCCCGUAGACGAAAACUGAAUCUUAUUAGUGAGGAUCCAGAGUACCGC